Osmia lignaria (orchard mason bee) is the source of this 1022-nucleotide long non-coding RNA. RefSeq lists it as uncharacterized. The record is from RefSeq and is a predicted model, not a curated record. NCBI's taxonomy places the organism in Eukaryota, Metazoa, Arthropoda, Insecta, Hymenoptera, Megachilidae.
CUGCCUACGAGUUUAGAAUGAUUUCGAGCUAGUGUUCAAAGAAAAUAACAAGAAACAGAGGGUAAAGAGAAACCGAAAAACCGCUGUCGCUGGUGGUUAGCAGUGAGAAAACUGGUACAAAAGGGUUCGCUGCGUAGUAAAGCUGGGUUUUUCAACGAAUUUUCAAGCUACCAUUACACGUAAGGUAACGCGUACUGUGAGAAGCAACGAAAGAGAAACAGGACGGUGCGGUGUUCGUGUCUCGCGAGUUUGCGGUUCGCGCGUGAUAAUAAACAUUCACCGGAAGCAGCGGGGAAAAUGCCAACAGCGAAAAACUUUCUUCUACGGAGGAUCAAAGUGCGAUCUCGGGGGUGGGAGGGAAAGCUCAAAGGGACCUCGGCGACACGCUCGUGGAAACGUGAAACCACGGCCGACUUCCACCAUUUUGUUAAGAAAUAAUUGUACAAAAUGCGUAGCUUUCACCGUGACAAGAAAAAGAAUUCAAUUGACAACAUCGACCUCGUCGAGACUGACAUCCAACUAACAUCUGUCAUCUGAAUACAUCAUCAGAGUGACAUGUCCAAUGCAAAUCGUGUCAUCCAGCGGUUUCCUCUAUGUCAAAGGUCAUCGCAUCGUUCCUGCUAUAAUGAAUUAACCUUUAACAUCCAAGCGGUACCACUACCCUCGGACACGUUUCCUUUUCCUCAGCAGGCAAUUUGAUAAAACGAUCGAGUCUCAAUGCGGCAUUAAUCGUAAAAGGAAAUUAGUUUGCAGCUAUUUUAAAAAGUAAACCGCAAGUUUCUCAUAGCACGUGCCGCGUGAGAAAUGUAGAAGGUAACGUAAGGGUUUGUUUUUCGCCGUUCUUCAACCUGUAAACGACCACUUCAGACAUCGAUCGGAGCUACGACUCGCGUCGUUAGCCACAAAGUGACAGCGUGUGACGAGCAACUUGCCACUCGAAACUGCUGCAAGCAUGUUUAAUCCUUAAUUGGUGACGCGCGUUAUUCCGGAGAACGCUCGAGAGCUUGGAUUUUCGUAAACAC